CCUACGGGAGGCAGCAGUGAGGAAUAUUGGUCAAUGGACGAGAGUCUGAACCAGCCAAGUAGCGUGAAGGAUGACUGCCCUAUGGGUGGUAAACUUCUUUUAUAUGGGAAUAAAAUGUUCAACGAGUGGGAUUUUGUAUGUACCAUAUGAAUAAGGAUCGGCUAACUCCGUGCCAGCAGCCGCGGUAAUACGGAGGAUCCGAGCGUUAUCCGGAUUUAUUGGGUUUAAAGGGAGCGUAUGUGGAUUGUUAAGUCAGUUGUGAAAGUUUGCGGCUCAACCGUAAAAUUGCAGUUGAAACUGGCAGUCUUGAGUACAGUAGAGGUGGGCGGAAUUCGUGGUGUAGCGGUGAAAUGCUUAGAUAUCACGAAGAACUCCGAUUGCGAAGGCAGCUCACUGGACUGCAACUGACACUGAGGCUCGAAAGUGUGGGUAUCAAACAGGAUUAGAUACCCGAGUAGUC
RNAcentral lists this ribosomal RNA (460 nucleotides) under uncultured bacterium. RNAcentral describes it as "partial 16S ribosomal RNA". It matches the Rfam family "Bacterial small subunit ribosomal RNA", at positions 338 to 795 of the family's 1533-position model. The record is from RNAcentral.